CGAGCAAUAGCUCAGUGGUAGAGCAUUCGACUGCAGAUCGAGAGGUCCCCGGUUCAAUCCCGGGUUGCUCCU
Quaeritorhiza haematococci is the source of this 72-nucleotide non-coding RNA. NCBI's taxonomy places the organism in Eukaryota, Fungi, Chytridiomycota, Chytridiomycetes, Quaeritorhizaceae. The record is from the annotation of a GenBank genome assembly.